This 462-nucleotide ribosomal RNA is filed under the name uncultured bacterium. RNAcentral describes it as "partial 16S ribosomal RNA". It matches the Rfam family "Bacterial small subunit ribosomal RNA", at positions 28 to 507 of the family's 1533-position model. The record is from RNAcentral.
GAUGAACGCUGGCGGCGUGCUUAACACAUGCAAGUCGAACGGUGAAGCCCUUCGGGGUGGAUCAGUGGCGAACGGGUGAGUAACACGUGAGCAACCUGCCCCUGGCUCUGGGACAACCACUGGAAACGGUGGCUAAUACCGGAUACGACCCGCCUCGGCAUCGAGUGUGGGUGGAAAGUUUUUCGGCUGGGGAUGGGCUCGCGGCCUAUCAGCUUGUUGGUGAGGUGAAGGCUCUCCAAGGCGACGACGGGUAGCCGGCCUGAGAGGGCGACCGGCCACACUGGGACUGAGACACGGCCCAGACUCCUACGGGAGGCAGCAGUGGGGAAUAUUGCACAAUGGGCGAAAGCCUGAUGCAGCGACGCCGCGUGAGGGAUGACGGCCUUCGGGUUGUAAACCUCUUUCAGCUCCGAAGAAGCGAAAGUGACGGUAGGAGCAGAAGAAGCACCGGCUAACUACGUG